CCUCGCUGCCUUCGGGCGUUUUGCGGGGAGAACUUCCCCCAAAGUGCCUGGAUCCACCAAGCAGUCGGUCCAGCCUGGAAGAGGCUCUUUCUCCUGGCCCGCCACUCGCUGUUGCCAAGGCCUGAUUCAAUUUGAACAUCUAGGGACACAGAAGUUUUCCAGCUUGUUAUACCAGGGCCAGCAAUAUUCUUCAGUGUCAACAGGAGCUCGGCCUUUCAUUUGGAUGGGCCAAUUUACAUGACUGGAUCGACCCCUUUACUGUUUUAACCUCUAGCUCCUAUAGCUAGGAGCAGAACCCAGUAUUCCUGGAUUUGAUAAUUCUCCUGCUAUUUAACAAGUAGUUUGUAACCAAAUGGUAAACUAUGAGUUGAGGCCCUCUCUUCUCGCCAAACUCAAUAAAAUUUAAUUACUCCUGGA
Taeniopygia guttata (zebra finch) is the source of this 417-nucleotide non-coding RNA. NCBI's taxonomy places the organism in Eukaryota, Metazoa, Chordata, Aves, Passeriformes, Estrildidae. The record is from RefSeq and is a predicted model, not a curated record.